This 448-nucleotide ribosomal RNA is filed under the name uncultured bacterium. RNAcentral describes it as "partial 16S ribosomal RNA". It matches the Rfam family "Bacterial small subunit ribosomal RNA", at positions 330 to 793 of the family's 1533-position model. The record is from RNAcentral.
CCCAGACUCCUACGGGAGGCAGCAGUGGGGGAUAUUGCACAAUGGGGGAAACCCUGAUGCAGCGACGCCGCGUGGGCGAAGAAGUAUUUCGGUAUGUAAAGCCCUAUCAGCAGGGAAGAAGAAAUGACGGUACCUGACUAAGAAGCCCCGGCUAACUACGUGCCAGCAGCCGCGGUAAUACGUAGGGGGCAAGCGUUAUCCGGAUUUACUGGGUGUAAAGGGAGCGUAGACGGCGAAGAAAGUCUGAAGUGAAAGCCCGCGGCUCAACCGCGGAAUGGCUUUGGAAACUUUUUUGCUGGAGUACCGGAGAGGUAAGCGGAAUUCCUAGUGUAGCGGUGAAAUGCGUAGAUAUUAGGAGGAACACCAGUGGCGAAGGCGGCUUACUGGACGGUAACUGACGUUGAGGCUCGAAAGCGUGGGGAGCAAACAGGAUUAGAUACCCGAGUAA